Molecule: long non-coding RNA, 314 nt
Filed under: Phoenix dactylifera (date palm)
Lineage: Eukaryota; Viridiplantae; Streptophyta; Magnoliopsida; Arecales; Arecaceae
Description: long non-coding RNA (PDAC_LNC010758)
Source: RNAcentral
AAGUGCCCGGGCUUAUUGCAUUCAUAACAGAUUGGCACUUCCCUUUUCUUUUCUUUGUCCUUACUCUUUUCUUUGCUUGUGUUGCCCUUGGAAAAUGGCUUCCUUUUGUGAAGUCCUUUCUUAUUUCUUAUAAAUUUUCUAAACUUCUUGGCAAGCAUAGCUACUUCUUCCUCAUCGUACCCCUCUUCACCAUCGGACUCAUCCGACUCGCUGUCUUCUUUAGGGAUUGUGGACUUCAAGGCAAUUGUCUUCUUUUUCUUGACUUCUUCUUCCGAAUUUUAAGGCAAUUGUCUUCUUUUUCUUGACUUCUUCUU